UGAUACCAGGGUUAUAAUUCCAUAAACCACAUGAGCUUGCUCAAAUGUGGUUUAUGGAAUUCAUGACCCGUCCCAACAUGAGCAUAAAAGUGGAAUGAAAUCCCACGAUAUGCGAAUGUUGGUCAGAUUGCGAGAGUGUGAAGCACGAAGCAAUCUGAAGGUAUCA
This is a small RNA of Eubacterium sp. CAG:156, 166 nucleotides long. It matches the Rfam family "Clostridiales-1 RNA". Lineage: Bacteria; Bacillati; Bacillota; Clostridia; Eubacteriales; Eubacteriaceae. The record is from Rfam.